This 507-nucleotide ribosomal RNA is filed under the name uncultured bacterium. Its description in RNAcentral is "bacterial SSU rRNA". It matches the Rfam family "Bacterial small subunit ribosomal RNA", at positions 15 to 532 of the family's 1533-position model. The record is from RNAcentral.
GAUCAUGGCUCAGAAUCAACGCUGGCGGCGUGCCUCAGACAUGCAAGUCGAACGAUUAAAGCUCUCUUCGGAGAGUGUAUAGAAUGGCGCACGGGUGAGUAACACGUAAGUAAUCUACCUUCGAGUGGGGAAUAACGUUCGGAAACGAACGCUAAUACCGCAUAAUGCAGCGGCAUCGCAAGAUGACAGUUGUUAAAGGAAUUUAUUUCGCUUGAAGAGGAGCUUGCGGCAGAUUAGCUUGUUGGUAAGGUAACGGCUUACCAAGGCUACGAUCUGUAUCCGGUCUAAGAGGACGGUCGGACACACUGACACUGAAUAACGGGUCAGACUCCUACGGGAGGCAGCAGUCGGGAAUUUUGGGCAAUGGGCGAAAGCCUGACCCAGCAACGCCGCGUGAAGGAUGAAGUAUUUCGGUAUGUAAACUUCGAAAGAAUGGGAAGAAUAAAUGACGGUACCAUUUAUAAGCUCCGGCUAACUACGUGCCAGCAGCCGCGGUAAUACGUAGGG